UUUAGCAGUUGCACGUAUAGUCAAGAAAUUUCGCCAUAUGAGAUGCAGCUGCAGUUUGUUAAGAGGAGUCGAGCCAUUUAAUACUCUCCGAGGUCUUACACAUCUUUGACCCUUUCAAGUCCGAUCCACCAAACUUCUCGGAUCCCCCGAUAAUUUACUAUAUCUAAACCACAGAUCUGACGCAAAUAGGUGUAAUAACGUAUUCCACUACGUCGAGAGGAAUCAAAUACGAAGAUAAUCAUUCCGCCGGUGAUUUGAAAGUUGCUAGUUAAGUUUUGUCGCCUCUUAAACACGCAUACUUAUAUAUUAUACCUUCUACACCGU
This is a long non-coding RNA of Neodiprion fabricii, 324 nucleotides long. RefSeq lists it as uncharacterized. The record is from RefSeq and is a predicted model, not a curated record. Lineage: Eukaryota; Metazoa; Arthropoda; Insecta; Hymenoptera; Diprionidae. The transcript has 3 exons.